CCCCUUUUUAAAAAGUAGCUUUUUUUACCUAUAGGCCAUCGAACAUUGUUCAUUGGAGUUCAUGUGCCACUGGGUGGAAGAAAAAGUCACCGACGCCAUAGGCACCGUGGACAUAAACACAGAAAGAGAGACAGAGAACGAGAUUCAGGAUUAGAAGAUGGGAGAGAGUCUCCUCCUUUUGAUACCCCGUCACAAAGGGUGCAGUUUAUUCUUGGAACAGAAGAUGAUGAUGAGGAGCACAUUCCUCAUGAUCUCUUUACUGAGCUUGAUGAAAUUUGUUGGCGUGAAGGAGAGGACGCAGAGUGGAGGGAGACAGCAAGGUGGUUGAAGUUUGAAGAAGAUGUAGAAGAUGGUGGAGAGAGGUGGAGCAAACCAUAUGUUGCCACACUGUCACUUCAUAGCUUGUUUGAGCUGAGAAGCUGUAUCUUGAAUGGCACAGUUCUUUUGGACAUGAGAGCUAACUCCAUAGAAGAAAUUGCAGGUAUGUAUUGG
Long non-coding RNA from Cariama cristata (Red-legged seriema), 492 nucleotides. RefSeq lists it as uncharacterized. Lineage: Eukaryota; Metazoa; Chordata; Aves; Cariamiformes; Cariamidae. The record is from RefSeq and is a predicted model, not a curated record. The transcript has 3 exons.